RNAcentral lists this ribosomal RNA (444 nucleotides) under uncultured bacterium. RNAcentral describes it as "partial 16S ribosomal RNA". It matches the Rfam family "Bacterial small subunit ribosomal RNA", at positions 354 to 796 of the family's 1533-position model. The record is from RNAcentral.
GUGAGGAAUAUUGGUCAAGGGCGAGAGCCUGAACCAGCCAAGUCGCGUGAAGGAAGAAGGAUCUAUGGUUCGUAAACUUCUUUUGCAGGGGAAUAAAGUGCAGGACGUGUCCUGUUUUGUAUGUACCCUGAGAAUAAGGAUCGGCUAACUCCGUGCCAGCAGCCGCGGUAAUACGGAGGAUCCGAGCGUUAUCCGGAUUUAUUGGGUUUAAAGGGUGCGUAGGUGGUUUGAUAAGUCAGCGGUGAAAGUUUGCAGCUUAACUGUAAAAAUGCCGUUGAAACUGUCGGACUUGAGUGUAAAUGAGGUAGGCGGAAUGCGUGGUGUAGCGGUGAAAUGCAUAGAUAUCACGCAGAACUCCGAUUGCGAAGGCAGCUUACUAAGCUACAACUGACACUGAAGCACGAAAGCGUGGGGAUCAAACAGGAUUAGAAACCCUAGUAGUCC